AGGAGAACCCGGGUUAGGGAAAUCGGCAAAAUAGUAGCGUAUCUUUUGUAAAAGCUAUGUCUGCGUUUAGUAAACGCAGAUUUCAAUAUCAAGGGAACAACGACUGUUUAUCAAAAACACAACUCACCGCACAGUCGAAAGGCUGAGUACAGUGGGUGACGCCUGCUCACCGCUAGUCAGCGAAACUCGGUUUCAACCGAACUAAGCCCUAGCAAAGAGCGGGAGUAACUCUGACUCUCUUUAGGUAGCGUAAUACCUCGUCACUUAAUAGGUGACUUGCAUGAAGGGCGUAACGAUUGUUCCACUGUCCCAACUCGGGACCUGGUGAACUUACUACGUGGUGUACAUGCCACGUUCUUUCAGUGGGUAGCGAAGUCUCUAUGAAACUUGACUAUAGUCUGUUGCUGUUGUGUGAUGGAUACUUCACAGCGUAAGUGGGAGCGUCGAAGCUGCAUUCUCGGAUGCAGUGGAGCGACAAUGUAACACCACUAUGUAUCUAUUACGCGACUUACAAAUAAAAUUGGACAACAGCAGAUGGAUAGUUGGACUGGGCGGUUGCUUUCGAUAAGGAAACGAAAGUGAUCAAUGCUCCGCUUAGGAGGGUUGGGAACCCUCUGUUAAGCAUAAAGGCAAAUGCGGGGCUGACUGUAUAGCGAAAAGCGUGCUAUGCAGACUGGAAACAGUGACUUAACGAACGUUGGAUGGCCUUUUAAUGGGCCACCAAGCUGUCAGACAAGUUACUCUAGAGGUAACCGGUUCGUGGCUGGUGAGAGUUCACAUCGACCCAGCCGUUUGAUACACCGAUAUGGGCUUAGGUUAUCCUGGGGGUGCAGGAGCCUCCAAGGGUUGGACUGCUCGUCCAUUAAAAACCUACAUGAGCUGAGUUCAGUACGUCGCGAGACAGUACGGUAGCAACUACUGAAAGUGUUAGUGUCAGAGGAUAAGAACUUUUUAAUACGAGAGGAACGAAAGUUCGGCGCCUCUAGUGGACCGGUUGUCGUAAUGGCACUGCCGGGUAGCCACGCGCUAAGCGGAUAAGACCUGAAAGCAUCUAAGGUCGAAGCCGUAUCCGAAACGAGACACUUAGGGUGGGCAUAGUACAUGCCUUUGAUAGGGCGGGAAUGUAAGCAGGAAGCUUCGGCGACCUGUGAGUUCACCGCAACUAAAUCCUAAUAAACUUUUAA
This 1184-nucleotide ribosomal RNA is filed under the name Microcaldota archaeon. Its description in RNAcentral is "partial 23S ribosomal RNA". It matches the Rfam family "Archaeal large subunit ribosomal RNA", at positions 1788 to 2987 of the family's 2987-position model. Lineage: Archaea; Nanobdellati; Microcaldota. The record is from RNAcentral.